RNAcentral lists this non-coding RNA (31 nucleotides) under Rattus norvegicus (Norway rat). The record is from RNAcentral. Lineage: Eukaryota; Metazoa; Chordata; Mammalia; Rodentia; Muridae.
UGGGUUGAAAAGUUGUAAAUAACUUCACAUC